RNAcentral lists this long non-coding RNA (1122 nucleotides) under Parus major (Great Tit). Its description in RNAcentral is "lncRNA (ENSPMJG00000008178.1)". Lineage: Eukaryota; Metazoa; Chordata; Aves; Passeriformes; Paridae. The record is from RNAcentral.
AAUCUAAAAAUCCUAAAAAUCUACAGUGUCUCCAUCAUGUAGUACAAAAGAAAAAAAUAAAAGGGGAGCCCGCGGAACGAAAAUCCCGGUCCCCUCCGCUAAUCCGGCGGGCAGCACGCCUUCCCACUCCAAGUCGCGCAUACCUAUCGGCGGGGAGCGUCGCAUUCGGCCGCCGCCGCCGCCUCCCCGCACGCUCCGGAGCCGCCCAAGCCCCCCGGCUUCGCCCGCGUAGGCAGCGGAUUCCCACGGCACUCUCGCUAACUUGCGGGGAACAAGCAAAGAAUUGCCAAGUCCCACCUAGCCGCUGUCAGCAACUUUUGGAAUUAAGUCCCAAUUAUUUUGGUGAAAAUACGGUAAUGCACAGAUAAGGACAUGAAGCCAGGCAGCUGAGAAACACCUUUCCUCGCAUGUUUAUACAGUCACGUUUUUCCUGUUGCACACAAAAGGGAUACCCGGCACCAGCCACGAGAACCGCCGCACUCACCUCCCGGCUUCUUUCUUCCUCUCCUUCAAAGGUGGCGGUGGAAUCAGUCAGCGAGAGUCACCCAGCAUAGAAAGGGCUUCUCCGGCUCCCUCUCCCCGGCGCUGACGUGACCGGCGCCGCGAUCGCUGCCGCAGCCCCGGAGCUGGUUCUCGCCCCUCCGCGAGGCGCAUCGGCACUUGCCAACAAUGAGCUGUGUUCCUUACACGGCUUUGGCCGCGGCUAAUAUAGGAUUUCAGAAGGGAGGAGCAAAACCCUUACAGGCAACCAGAACCGUCUACAGGCACAUAGAGAGGACACUCCUCCCGGCCCAAGGAAUUGUGAAUAUGAGACCAAGACGGCCAUCAUGUAGGCUGAGAUGGGGUUUCUGCACCUCCACGUGCUUUGCAAGGAUGUACUACAGUGCAGGAGGGCCUCCCUGGGAGGGCACAGAGAAACUAAAUCAGAAGCUUUGCUCUGCUUGCACACCAAAACCACUUUGGCAGCUGGUGAGGGUCCAAGCCUGUAAUGCAGCACUUGAACAACUUGGAAAUGCCUGGGGCAAGACACGUUCAGUUCAGGGGAUCGGACUAAAUCUGAAUUUUCCCCAAACUGCUUGAAUUGGAAAUAAAGGGGCCUCAAUACCAAGACUUUCGAUGGAC